Molecule: small RNA, 271 nt
Filed under: Arabidopsis thaliana (thale cress)
Lineage: Eukaryota; Viridiplantae; Streptophyta; Magnoliopsida; Brassicales; Brassicaceae
Description: ATSL283340
Source: RNAcentral
UUCUUAAAACAGGGAUUAGCGAUUCGCAUCCUCUUCUGUCUUUCUUAGUACGUUUGUGUUAUAGCUUCAUUUCGAAUGACUGGAUUGUCCGAAUUACUCAUGUGUAUAGGGAAGCUAAUCGUCUCGCAGAUGAAUUAGCGAAUCAUGCUUUUUUGUUACUUUUGGGGUUUCAUAGUAUUCUUCUUAGGCUUGAUUUUGCUACUUCGAUUAUUUUUGAGGAUGAUAGUGUUGUUACGCGCCCACGGAAUAUUCGUGUGUAAUUUUUUUUUUU